UACGUAGGGUGCAAGCGUUGUCCGGAAUUAUUGGGCGUAAAGAGCUCGUAGGCGGUCUGUCGCGUCGGCUGUGAAAACCCGGGGCUCAACCCCGGGCCUGCAGUCGAUACGGGCAGACUAGAGUGCGGUAGGGGAGACUGGAAUUCCUGGUGUAGCGGUGAAAUGCGCAGAUAUCAGGAGGAACACCGGUGGCGAAGGCGGGUCUCUGGGCCGUAACUGACGCUAAGGAGCGAAAGCGUGGGGAGCGAACAGG
Molecule: ribosomal RNA, 253 nt
Filed under: uncultured bacterium
Lineage: Bacteria
Description: partial 16S ribosomal RNA
Rfam family: Bacterial small subunit ribosomal RNA
Source: RNAcentral